This 466-nucleotide ribosomal RNA is filed under the name Cleopatra bulimoides. RNAcentral's name for it is "partial large subunit ribosomal RNA". It matches the Rfam family "Bacterial large subunit ribosomal RNA", at positions 1845 to 2571 of the family's 2925-position model. Lineage: Eukaryota; Metazoa; Mollusca; Gastropoda; Paludomidae. The record is from RNAcentral.
AUGAAGAGUCAAACCUGCCCAGUGAAAUAUUUAUUUAACGGCCGCGGUACUCUGACCGUGCAAAGGUAGCAUAAUCAUUUGCCUUAUAAUUGAAGGCUAGUAUGAAUGGUUCGACGUGAGCAGCACUGUCUCUCCUUUAUUUCUUAGAAAUUAACUUUUAGGUGAAGAGGCCUAAAUAUAAUUAAAGGACAAGAAGACCCUGUCGAGCUUAAAAGACAAAAAUAGAAGUUAAUAUCUUUAGAAAUAAAUACUCUAUUAAGCUUUUUAGUUGGGGCGACUAAGGAACAAAUAAAGCUUCUUUCUUAAGACAAGCUAAUUAGCAAAGAUCCAGUAUUUACCACUGAUCAAGAAAAUUAGUUACCGCAGGGAUAACAGCAUAAUCUCUCUUGAGAGACCAAAUCGAAAGGGGGGGUUGUGACCUCGAUGUUGGACUAGAAUAUCCGAAAGAUGCAGACGUCUUUAAAGG